GGGUGGUGUGAUGUCAUUUGCAACAAGACGGCUGAUACUAAUAUGAGCCUAAAAUAAAGGACAAUAAUGGCAUCAGCCAUUCAAGUUAUGAUCCUGGCAGAUCUACUACUAUCUGAAAAGUAGUCUCUGCAGAUUGUUUCAAGAUACACAAGAUGGAGCGUGGAGAGGCGGGACAUGGAC
This is a long non-coding RNA of Onychostoma macrolepis, 180 nucleotides long. RefSeq lists it as uncharacterized. The record is from RefSeq and is a predicted model, not a curated record. The transcript is spliced from 3 exons. Lineage: Eukaryota; Metazoa; Chordata; Actinopteri; Cypriniformes; Cyprinidae.